AGGUGGUGGUCCGGGGUGGCCGGGUGCUGGUGAUGAACCGGAUGACGGUCCGCAAGGACGGCCGCCGGCUCGGCUCCGUCACCACCCU
RNAcentral lists this transfer RNA (88 nucleotides) under Nonomuraea sp. TT08I-71. Its description in RNAcentral is "tRNA-His". The record is from RNAcentral. Lineage: Bacteria; Bacillati; Actinomycetota; Actinomycetes; Streptosporangiales; Streptosporangiaceae.